This 174-nucleotide non-coding RNA is filed under the name Anaerolineae bacterium. RNAcentral's name for it is "6S RNA". It matches the Rfam family "6S / SsrS RNA". Rfam says of the family: E. coli 6S RNA was the first non coding RNA to be sequenced, but its function was unknown until recently. It consists of 184 nucleotides that fold into an extended hairpin structure with a large single-stranded internal bulge. Lineage: Bacteria; Bacillati; Chloroflexota; Anaerolineae. The record is from RNAcentral.
UGGACCCUGCUGUGUCCGUGAUGCUGCAAGAGGUUUUGAGCCAACACUUUGAAUAGGGGGUCCUAGCUUCAUUGGGGGACGCGAUAGGCUACGGCCAAGGUGGAACCCAAGGGCAGAGCCCCACCUGCGAAUGCAGGUUCAAAACGAUGCAGCACACGCCAUAGCGGGGUGUCU